UCAGGCAGAGUGUUCUGGAAUCCCCUCUGCAGGUUGCCCUGAGCACAAUGAUGCCCUGUAGCAGCUUGAAGUGGGAGGUAUUCUCUUUUGAAUGGGAGAGUUGUGUGUCCACCCUAGAUCCCCAGAAACACACCCUACUUGUACGGGCAGGAUCCAACUCAGACUUGAUGAAGCAACUGGUCUAUCAAGCAUUGAUGAGGCAAGCAGGAAACCUAAUGAAAAUAAUACAAGGAAAUCUUUUCAUCAACACCCACCCCUUAAUGUCUCAGCUAUCAGGUCAUUGUGUUUGCUUCUCUCCAUGGAAUACUCAUCUGCAGCCAACGUCGGAAGCUCCGAUUUUAA
Molecule: long non-coding RNA, 342 nt
Organism: Herpailurus yagouaroundi (jaguarundi)
Lineage: Eukaryota; Metazoa; Chordata; Mammalia; Carnivora; Felidae
Exons: 3
Source: RefSeq, a predicted model, not a curated record